This 491-nucleotide ribosomal RNA is filed under the name uncultured bacterium. Its description in RNAcentral is "partial 16S ribosomal RNA". It matches the Rfam family "Bacterial small subunit ribosomal RNA", at positions 29 to 506 of the family's 1533-position model. The record is from RNAcentral.
AGUGAACGCUGGCGGUAGGCCUAACACAUGCAAGUCGAACGGCAGCACAGUAAGAGCUUGCUCUUACGGGUGGCGAGUGGCGGACGGGUGAGGAAUACAUCGGAAUCUACUUUUUCGUGGGGGAUAACGUAGGGAAACUUACGCUAAUACCGCAUACGACCUACGGGUGAAAGCAGGGGAUCUUCGGACCUUGCGCGAUUGAAUGAGCCGAUGUCGGAUUAGCUAGUUGGCGGGGUAAAGGCCCACCAAGGCGACGAUCCGUAGCUGGUCUGAGAGGAUGAUCAGCCACACUGGAACUGAGACACGGUCCAGACUCCGACGGGAGGCAGCAGGGGGGAAUAUUGGACAAUGGGCGCAAGCCUGAUCCAGCCAUACCGCGUGGGUGAAGAAGGCCUGCGGGUUGUAAAGCCCUUUUGUUGGGAAAGAAAAGCAGCAGGUUAAUACCCCGCUGUUCUGACGGGACCCAAAGAAUAAGCACCGGCGAACUUCGU